RNAcentral lists this ribosomal RNA (301 nucleotides) under uncultured bacterium. RNAcentral describes it as "partial 16S ribosomal RNA". It matches the Rfam family "Bacterial small subunit ribosomal RNA", at positions 509 to 807 of the family's 1533-position model. The record is from RNAcentral.
CAGUCGCCGCGGGAAUACGAAGGGCGCAAGUGUUAAUCGGAAUUACUGGGCGUAAAGCGUGCGUAGGCGGUGAGUUAAGUCUGCUGUGAAAUCCCCGGGCUCAACCUGGGAAUGGCAGUGGAUACUGGCUCGCUAGAGUGUGUCAGAGGAUGGUGGAGUUCCCGGUGUAGCGGUGAAAUGCGUAGAGAUCGGGAGGAACAUCAGUGGCGAAGGCGGCCAUCUGGGACAACACUGACGCUGAGGCACGAAAGCGUGGGGAGCAAACAGGAUUAGAUACCCGCGUAGUCCCUGUCUCUUAUAC